AAUCAACGCUGGCGGCGUGCCUAACACAUGCAAGUCGAACGAGAAAGUGGAGCAAUCCAUGAGUACAGUGGCGACCGGGUGAGUAACACGUGACUAACCUACCCAGAAGCGGGGAAUAACCUCGGGAAACCGGGGCUAAUACCGCAUGAAGUCAUGAGGUGGAAUUCCUUGUGACCAAAGGAGUAAUUCGCUUUUGGAGGGGGUCGCGGCUGAUUAGCUAGUUGGCGGGGUAACGGCCCACCAAGGCAAUGAUCAGUAUCCGGCCUGAGA
RNAcentral lists this ribosomal RNA (270 nucleotides) under uncultured bacterium. RNAcentral's name for it is "partial 16S ribosomal RNA". It matches the Rfam family "Bacterial small subunit ribosomal RNA", at positions 32 to 297 of the family's 1533-position model. The record is from RNAcentral.